Molecule: ribosomal RNA, 43 nt
Filed under: Fusarium tricinctum
Lineage: Eukaryota; Fungi; Ascomycota; Sordariomycetes; Hypocreales; Nectriaceae
Description: partial 28S ribosomal RNA
Source: RNAcentral
UGACCUCGGAUCAGGUAGGAAUACCCGCUGAACUUAAGCAUAC